AGGGAUGUAGUUCAGUGAUAUAGUACUGUCCUAGCAGGCCUGAAGCCCUGGGUUCAAUUCCCAGUAUCCCUC
RNAcentral lists this transfer RNA (72 nucleotides) under Ictidomys tridecemlineatus (thirteen-lined ground squirrel). RNAcentral describes it as "Spermophilus tridecemlineatus (thirteen-lined ground squirrel) tRNA". It matches the Rfam family "tRNA". From Rfam's summary of the family: Transfer RNA (tRNA) molecules are approximately 80 nucleotides in length. Their secondary structure includes four short double-helical elements and three loops (D, anti-codon, and T loops). Lineage: Eukaryota; Metazoa; Chordata; Mammalia; Rodentia; Sciuridae. The record is from Rfam by way of RNAcentral.